GCGGGUGUAGUUCAAUGGUAGAACUUCAGCCUUCCACGCUGACUGCGAGGUUUCGAUUCCCUUCACCCGCUCCA
This 74-nucleotide transfer RNA is filed under the name Clostridiales bacterium. Its description in RNAcentral is "tRNA-Gly". It matches the Rfam family "tRNA". From Rfam's summary of the family: Transfer RNA (tRNA) molecules are approximately 80 nucleotides in length. Their secondary structure includes four short double-helical elements and three loops (D, anti-codon, and T loops). Further hydrogen bonds mediate the characteristic L-shaped molecular structure. tRNAs have two regions of fundamental functional importance: the anti-codon, which is responsible for specific mRNA codon recognition, and the 3' end, to which the tRNAs corresponding amino acid is attached (by aminoacyl-tRNA synthetases). tRNAs cope with the degeneracy of the genetic code in two manners: having more than one tRNA (with a specific anti-codon) for a particular amino acid; and 'wobble' base-pairing, i.e. permitting non-standard base-pairing at the 3rd anti-codon position. The record is from RNAcentral. Lineage: Bacteria; Bacillati; Bacillota; Clostridia; Eubacteriales.